GGGUCCUCUAUGUGUAGGUCCUCUAUGUGUGGGUCCUCUAGGCGUGGGUCCUCUAGGUGUGGGUCCUCUAUGUGUGGGUCCUCUAUGUGUAGGUCCUCUAUGUGUGGUUCCUCUAUGUGUAGGUCCUCUAUGUGUAGGUCCUCUAUGUGUGGGUCCUCUAUGUGUGGGUCCUCUAGGCGUGGGUCCUCUAGGCGUGGGUCCUCUAGGCAUGGGUCCUCUAUGUGUGGGUCCUCUAUGUGUGGUUCCUCUAGGCGUGGGUCCUCUAUGUGUAGGUCCUCUAUGUGUGGUUCCUCUAUGUGUAG
Molecule: long non-coding RNA, 302 nt
Filed under: Salmo salar (Atlantic salmon)
Lineage: Eukaryota; Metazoa; Chordata; Actinopteri; Salmoniformes; Salmonidae
Description: lncRNA (ENSSSAG00000101851.1)
Source: RNAcentral